RNAcentral lists this ribosomal RNA (819 nucleotides) under Rhizophagus cf. irregularis MUCL 49424. RNAcentral describes it as "eukaryotic LSU rRNA". It matches the Rfam family "Eukaryotic large subunit ribosomal RNA", at positions 1 to 668 of the family's 3401-position model. The record is from RNAcentral. Lineage: Eukaryota; Fungi; Glomeromycota; Glomeromycetes; Glomerales; Glomeraceae.
GACCUCAAAUCAGGUAGGAACACCCGCUGAACUUAAGCAUAUCAAUAAGCGGAGGAAAAGAAAAUAACAAUGAUUCCCCUAGUAACUGCGAGUGAAGAGGGACAAGCUCAAAUUUUAAAUCUAUCGGGUUUUACCUGAUCGAGUUGUAAUUUGAAGAUGGCGUUUUCUGUGUUUCUGAUCAGUCCAAGUCCUUUGGGAUAAGGCAUCAUGGAGGGUGAGAAUCCCGUUCGGUUGAUCAGAUUCGCUUUACGAUACGUUAUCAAAGAGUCAAGUUGUUUGGGAUUGCAGCUUAAAAUGGGAGGUAAAUUUCUCCUAAGGCUAAAUAACGGCGAGAGACCGAUAGCGAACAAGUACCGUGAGGGAAAGAUGAAAAGAACUUUGAAAAGAGAGUUAAACAGUACGUGAAAUUGUUGAAAGGGAAACGAUUGAAGCCAGUCGUACCUUCGGGUAAUCAGCCUUUCGGGUGCGAUUCUGUGGAGUUUGAGGAGCUUUAACACCUUCAUGCUUUGCAUAUUCGUGCUCUUGGGUGUACUUGCCCGUGUGGUUGGUUAACAUCAAUUUCGGGCAUCAUAAAAUGGCUGGAGGAAUGUAGCUUCGAUCUUGUAUUGAAGUGUUAUAGCCUUCGGUAGAUGUGGUGAUCGAGAUUGAGGAUUGCAACGGAUACCUUUCGGGGCUACCUGUCUGAUCUCUGAUCGUUGCUCUGGUACCGAAAGCUUGCUUACGGUUAUCAAAGUCGAUGGUCAAUAGGUUAGAACGGGUUAAAUUCGUUAAGGAUGUUGACGUAAUGGCUUUAAACGACCCGUCUUGAAACACGGACCA